This 351-nucleotide long non-coding RNA is filed under the name Coffea arabica (coffee). RNAcentral describes it as "long non-coding RNA (CARA_LNC005611)". The record is from RNAcentral. Lineage: Eukaryota; Viridiplantae; Streptophyta; Magnoliopsida; Gentianales; Rubiaceae.
UUGGGGUUGAUUUGGGAGGUAGUUUCCAAUUGCUUGUCGUUUUGAUUUCUGCUCAUUUUUGGUGCUACUUGGUGUGUUCGGAUUUAUCAGGUGCAGUGGGUUGGCCAUUUGAUUUAAUUUUUUUCCCUGUACCUGCAGCGGAGGUACUGGUUGUGGUGUUGACUAAAAUUUCUUAUUCCUUUAUGCUUGACUGCCUACUUGAUUCUUGGGUUUUAGUGCUUAAAUUGUUUCUCAAAUUCUAAACGGUGGUUGCUAGAAUUGCCUAUUGCUUGGCCCAAUUGCUAGGUUUGGUCGUUUAAAGUGGGUAAUUGAAUGUCCAAUUGGUGACAUUUAUUGAGUUUCACUUGCUCC